RNAcentral lists this ribosomal RNA (495 nucleotides) under uncultured bacterium. RNAcentral describes it as "partial 16S ribosomal RNA". It matches the Rfam family "Bacterial small subunit ribosomal RNA", at positions 28 to 507 of the family's 1533-position model. The record is from RNAcentral.
GAUGAACGCUGGCGGCGUGCCUAAUACAUGCAAGUAGAACGCUGAAGGAGGAGCUUGCUCUUCUGGAUGAGUUGCGAACGGGUGAGUAACGCGUAGGUAACCUGCCUGGUAGCGGGGGAUAACUAUUGGAAACGAUAGCUAAUACCGCAUGACAACAGUUAUUGCAUGAUAACUGUUUAAAAGGGGCAACUGCUCCACUACCAGAUGGACCUGCGUUGUAUUAGCUAGUUGGUGAGGUAACGGCUCACCAAGGCGACGAUACAUAGCCGACCUGAGAGGGUGGUCGGCCACACUGGGACUGGGACACGGCCCAGACUCCUACGGGAGGCAGCAGGAGGGAAUCUUCGGCAAUGGACGGAAGUCUGACCGAGUAACGCCGCGUGAGUGAAGAAGGUUUUCGGAUCGUAAAGCUCUGUUGUAAGAGAAGAACGAGUGUGAGAGUGGAAAGUUCACACUGUGACGGUAUCUUAACAGAAAGGGACGGCUAACUACGUG